GAUUAACGCUAGCGGCAGGCCUAAUACAUGCAAGUCGAGCGGCAGCACGGGUAGCAAUACCUGGUGGCGAGUGGCGCACGGGUGCGUAACGCGUAUGCAAUCUACCUAUAACUGGGGAAUAGCCUUCCGAAAGGAAGAUUAAUACCGCAUAAUAUCACGAAGCGGCAUCGUUUUGUGAUCAAAACUCCGGUGGUUAUAGAUGAGCAUGCGUGACAUUAGCUAGUUGGUGAGGUAACGGCUCACCAAGGCUACGAUGUCUAGGGGGUCUGAGAGGAUGAUCCCCCACACUGGUACUGAGAC
RNAcentral lists this ribosomal RNA (300 nucleotides) under uncultured bacterium. RNAcentral describes it as "bacterial SSU rRNA". It matches the Rfam family "Bacterial small subunit ribosomal RNA", at positions 28 to 325 of the family's 1533-position model. The record is from RNAcentral.